AGCGAACGCUGGCGGCAGGCUUAACACAUGCAAGUCGAGCGGGCCCUUCGGGGUCAGCGGCCGACGGGUGAGUAACACGUGGGAACGUACCCUUUGGUUCGGAAUAACGCUGGGAAACUAGCGCUAAUACCAGAUACGCCCUUUUGGGGAAAGGCUUGCUGCCGAAGGAUCGGCCCGCGUCUGAUUAGCUAGUUGGUGGGGUAAUGGCCUACCAAGGCGACGAUCAGUAGCUGGUCUGAGAGGAUGAUCAGCCACACUGGGACUGAGACACGGCCCAGACUCCUACGGGAGGCAGCAGUGGGGAAUAUUGGACAAUGGGCGCAAGCCUGAUCCAGCCAUGCCGCGUGAGUGAUGAAGGCCUUAGGGUUGUAAAGCUCUUUUGUCCGGGACGAUAAUGACGGUACCGGAAGAAUAAGCCCCGGCUAACUUCGUG
RNAcentral lists this ribosomal RNA (433 nucleotides) under uncultured bacterium. RNAcentral's name for it is "partial 16S ribosomal RNA". It matches the Rfam family "Bacterial small subunit ribosomal RNA", at positions 29 to 507 of the family's 1533-position model. The record is from RNAcentral.